Triplophysa dalaica is the source of this 2645-nucleotide long non-coding RNA. RefSeq lists it as uncharacterized. The record is from RefSeq and is a predicted model, not a curated record. The transcript has 2 exons. NCBI's taxonomy places the organism in Eukaryota, Metazoa, Chordata, Actinopteri, Cypriniformes, Nemacheilidae.
CCCAAAGGCAGUGCCGAGGAGACCCCUCAGGACUAAAGUAUGUGCCUCUAGUUGCCAAAACACCUGCACAUGUCACAAUGUUUCAUUUGAUUUUAGUUUGUCUCUGAGGUUUUAGAUCUGAAUGUGAUGGAUGGUUCAUGUUUUCACUGCUGGCAAUGGCAAAAAUAACUCUCCCUGUAAUCCAUUUCUUCAAUUAAACUCUUAUUAAAGUUAUUAAAUUUCAGUUAUCUAUGCCUUAAAGAAGACAAACAAACUACAACAGUAUUUUUUACUAGCCUAUUUGUAGCCUACUGCAUUUAAAAGAAAAAUCCUUAAUUUAAUGACAGAACAUGGAAAAUAACAAAACAGAUUUCAACAGUACUUUUAUACUUUUAAAUGUUCUUUUAUUUCGAGAAAUGUUUUUUCAUCUCGGAAUCUGUGGAACCCCUCUGUCUUCCUGAGAAUUAGAAUGGUUAUCUGUAAACAAGUUGAAAAAUAUUUUUUUUAAUCUUAACACAAUUUAAGAAACAUUGUGCCUUGUGCAAGUCAUUUUUAAAUGACAAGAGUAAUUUUUUUUUAAUUUUUAUUUAUAAGAGCUGUGGGAAAGACAGCGCUUUUUCUGGCUCUGUUAAGCUGUGAAGUGCCGGGUCACGUGACCUUCCAGCCGCAGCUCAUGCCAGCAAUACUGAAGAUUGAACCCCUACAGGUUAUUUGGUGUGAGUUUCAUUUGGGCAGAGUAGGAGCUUGUAAACGAGUCUCAUGUGUGGGACGAUCUGUUGUACGCAUUUGGGUGCACGUCUCAUAUUCGUGUACAUGUAUGCUUUUCAAGUGGUGAAAGAGAUUGCUGGUGUUUCCACCUUUGGCUGCAACAACACUGCGACACAGGUCGAUGUCAGAGAUUUUGAACCCAAACCAGUUCCAUACGACAGAGGAGCCCCCCCCCCUUUUUUUAAACUAAUUCCUACUCGUGCUGUUCAACAAUCUCAUUUUCUGUGCAUUCGCUCAUCUUUUUCACUCAAAUCUCACUUUCAAUCUCAUGAAUUCGCGAACGCAAGCUGCAGUUUCUUAUGCACACUUGAUUGUUGCUGUGGCGAGUUUGAGUAACGUUCGGCGGGUUGUGCUAUAGGCUAACUUGGACUGUUACGGCGCUCUCUGUUUCAUUACUAAUGCCUGUGUAGAGAGAAGUUGGACAUAGAGGACAAAAGAUUAAACGUUCAAACUCGACAUAUCUUCAUUAGCAGUGUAAACGGAUGACAAAUUGAACAAAAUGUUAUAAAUGCAAAAUUAGAGUUCACGAAUGCACGAUAUAGCAAAAUUCAUAUCAUGGCGCAAAAUAAUACCGGUUGUCACGUACAUAACGGUAUAUUGCCCAGUCCUAUUACACAUAAUCUUUUUCUGUUACACAUAUUUCUCUUUCUGUUGCACAUUAACUUAGUUGGAUGGAUCCUACUUAAUCUGGCAUAAUAUCUUGUGAAACCCGGGCUGUUCUUUAUAAAAAGCCCAAAAUCCAUGCCAGUCUGCAGAGACAAAUAUGAAAAAGAUAUUAAUCACUGUAACUUUCGCUGUUAUAGCAGUGAAAACAUGAACCAUCACAUUCAGAUCUGAAACUUCAGAGACAAACUGAAAUCAAAUUUGGUCUCCAAAUGGUCUCCUCGGCGCUGCCGUUGGGGGACACGGUUGAACAGGUCUGGAUGGUGGGAAACUUGGCAGAAGUGGAAGUGACCCUGCAAACAAGCCAGAACAAGACAAUUAAUUUAAAUAUGCAUUUGCAACAAUUGGGCAUUAGACGUUUAAACAGUCCAUGAAGACAUGAGGUAAAGACUUAAGAUCAUUUGAGGUUCUGUGAUGUAAACGGUUUAGUGAUCCUCGUAUCUCUCCUACAAUAUGUGAAGCUCACUCACCUCCGGGGGUCUCCAGGCCUGAAAGAAGCAGCCGAGGGCGCAAAGGCUCAAGCUGAGGGCGCCCUCUAUUGAGCAGUUGAGGCAGUGUCAACUGCAGAAGCAAAAUGCUUACUGCAGACACUGUGUCCCUCGCAGGCAUUUUACAAUUUUGUUAUUAAGUUUAGAACUAUAUUAAAAUGACCUUUAUGGUUACCAUUAGCCUGUUAAAGCAUUGAAUCAGUCGCUAAUAACUUUACAGUGACUGUUUAUUUAUUACCUUUCACGCGGCCUGUUUCCUCCUCCACAGGUCCACCGCAGACAGAGGUUACCGCAGGAUGCAGUUCAUGCCCAGACCUGAUGGCAGAGCUGAGAAUGGGAAGCGGUGACCUGACAAGUGCUAAGAGGAUAGAGCUGGAUAAAGGACGCGACAACUUUGUUUUUUCUACAACAUUUCAAAUGCUAUUAGAUUGUUAAUGAUAAUCUUUAAUUUUUAUAUUUUUAUUAAGCCUUGUUGUGCAAGCACUGAUGAGCUUGUGCAGAGGCAGCAGCUUUUGCCAGAGGGGAACUGGAAUCCCCUGGUUGGGCCUGGGUUCCCCUGAGGUUUUUUUUCUCGAUGGGAGUUUUGGGUUCCUCACCACCGUUUGCAUAUUGUUUUGCACUAUCUGCCUGGCCGGGGGGGCUGCUUUAGAAUUCAUACUUGUAUUAAAUGUGUCUCAUGUACAGCUGCUUUGUAACAAUGAAAAUUGUAAAAAGCGCUAUAUAAAUAAAGUUGAGUUGAGUUGAGUA